CACCCGCAGCUCGAGUGGUGGUCACUUUUAUUGAGCCUAAAGCGUUUGUAGCCGGUUUUGCAAAUCUUCAGAUAAAUUCCUCUGCUUAACAGAUGAUCUUCUGAAGAGACUGCGAGACUUGGGACCGGGUGAGGUUGAAGGUACUUCCGGGGUAGGGGUAAAAUCCUGUAAUCCUGGAAGGACGACCGGUGGCGAAGGCGUUCAACUAGAACGGAUCCGACGGUGAGGAACGAGGGCUAGGGUAGCAAACCGGAUUAGAUACCCGGGUAGUCCUAGCUGUAAACACUGCCCACUUGGUGUUGCCCCUCCGAUGAGGGGAGGCAGUGCCGGAGCGAAGGUGUUAAGUGGGCCGCUUGGGGAGUAUGGUCGCAAGGCUGAAACUUAAAGGAAUUGGCGGGGGAGCACCGCAACGGGAGGAGCGUGCGGUUUAAUUGGAUUCAACGCCAGAAAACUCACCGGGAGCGACCUUUGGAUGAGAGUCAGCCUGAUGAGCUUACUCGAUAGAAGGAGAGGUGGUGCAUGGCCGUCGUCAGCUCGUACCGUAGGGCGUUCACUUAAGUGUGAUAACGAGCGAGACCCCCAUCUCUAAUUGCUAACGUGCAUUCGCGUGCACGCGCACUUUAGAGGGACCGCCAGUGCUAAACUGGAGGAAGGAGGGGUCGACGGCAGGUCAGUACGCCCCGAAUCUCCCGGGCAACACGCGCGCUACAAAGGGCAGGACAAUGAGUUGCCACCUCGAAAGGGGGAGCUAACCUCGAAACCUGUUCGUAGUUAGGAUUGAGGGCUGUAACUCGCCCUCAUGAAUGUGGAUUCCGUAGUAAUCGCGGGUCAACAGUCCGCGGUGAAUAUGCCCCUGCUCCU
This 861-nucleotide ribosomal RNA is filed under the name uncultured archaeon. RNAcentral's name for it is "bacterial SSU rRNA". It matches the Rfam family "Archaeal small subunit ribosomal RNA", at positions 474 to 1337 of the family's 1478-position model. The record is from RNAcentral.